GACGAAUGCUGGCUGCGUGCUUAACACAUGCAAGUCGAACGGUGAACAGGGGCUUGCCCCUGGGAUCAGUGGCGAACGGGUGAGUAACACGUGGGCAACCUGCCCCUCACUCUGGGAUAACUCCGGGAAACCGGGGCUAAUACCGGAUACGACCAGGCACGACAUCGGGUCUGGUGGAAAGAACUUCGGUGAGGGAUGGGCCCGCGGCCUAUCAGCUUGUUGGUGAGGUAAUGGCUCACCAAGGCGACGACGGGUAGCCGGCCUGAGAGGGCGACCGGCCACACUGGGACUGAGACACGGCCCAGACUCCUACGGGAGGCAGCAGUGGGGAAUAUUGCGCAAUGGGCGAAAGCCUGACGCAGCGACGCAGCGUGAGGGACGAAGGCCUUCGGGUUGUAAACCUCUUUCAGCGGGGACGAAGCGAAAGUGACGGUACCCGCAGAAGAAGCACCGGCUAACUACGUGCCAGCAGCCGCUAAUCAUACUCGUA
This 490-nucleotide ribosomal RNA is filed under the name uncultured bacterium. RNAcentral describes it as "bacterial SSU rRNA". It matches the Rfam family "Bacterial small subunit ribosomal RNA", at positions 28 to 529 of the family's 1533-position model. The record is from RNAcentral.